AAGGGCCUUAUUCUUAAAUCUUUGUGAUUCCUAAUCAUUUCCAUAGCAGUAGUGAUCACUGCUUAACAAAGAUGCAGACAUUAAUAGAGGAGAGGAGGCUGAUGUUGGAUCUAUGAUGACCUCUGGUGCCGUAUGAGUCGGGGAUCAUGAUCACAGGUCUGGGAGUCUGAGGUCCACAUCUUAAAAUAUCUAGAAUAUGCCGAUCAUCUCUGUGCCAAAUGCUAAAACUAAUUUAUUUCUAGAAUUAGAUAAAAUAUCAAUAAAAAUAAAUUUGAAAGUCAUUUUCUAAUCAAGACAUAAAUUACAUAACAAGAAUACUAAAACUACCUACCAAACAAUAGCUCUUUCACACUUGAUGCCUGCGAUGCCAUGCCCCGUGAGCUCAAAUUGGAGACAAUGCUUUUGGUAGGGUCAGAGCCAUGAAAUAGUAUAGGUUAUUAUAUAUUUAGGUGGGUGAUGAGCAGAGGGGUAAUUUCAAGUAUUAAAAUGUGUGAAUAAAUUAACUGAAUGCCAAUAUUUUUAUAUUCUGUUCUACUUUAAACUCUCAGAAUGGAUUUUCUGCAGCUGAUUUUCUAUAUUCUGUUUUCUUCGGGUAAGCAGAAACAGAUGCCUUCCUCACUGGUCACCAGGUUCAAGGUCCCUCAUAUGUGUCAGGUGCAUAGUCACCAACAAAGGCCAACUUCACAUCAAUGGGUGGAUCGUACCUCGGCCUAAGCUCCAGGAUUGAUUGUGCUGUUAGAGUCACAGCUACAACCGUGAGUAAUAAUUACAGUCUCACUUUCUGAAUGUCAUUUAAAAAGGAUAUUCCAUACAGAUAUUUGAUCUGCUUAUAGUGUCCAGAAAAAAGCUUGUUGUCACCAACCUAGCUAGCACUACCUAUAAUUUGUACACACACACAUACAAAAAAAUGCCAGAUGUCUUGGACACAAAAGUCAAAGUGAACUUGGGUCCCCUUGAUAGUUCUGUGUUGCGUUGGUGACAGGAUACAAGCAUUGUGUUAUUGAUUUUGGUAUUCAUGGGCUUCGCUUCUAUUGUUGCAAUUUCAUAUAUUAAAAUUAGAAAAAGAAUCAAUGAACAAGUAUACAUUUCAACAGUUAAGCAUUAUUCAAUUAUGUAAAUGUCACAAAGGAAAGCAACCUAUCAAGCUAAAUUAAAAAUAUUGAAACCAAUUCAGGGUAACUUGGGGAAAAGGGCCGUUGAUAGUUCAGUGGUAGAGCCCUUGUCUUGGAUCCGUGAAGCGCUGGGUUCUAUCCUCAGUAUCACAAAA
Molecule: long non-coding RNA, 1267 nt
Filed under: Mus musculus (house mouse)
Lineage: Eukaryota; Metazoa; Chordata; Mammalia; Rodentia; Muridae
Description: RNA imprinted and accumulated in nucleus
Rfam family: Small nucleolar RNA SNORD113/SNORD114 family (bases 106-177)
Source: RNAcentral